GAUCUUGACUUGGAAGCAACUUUUGUUUAUCGACAGAUGUUUCCAAGGUCAAGAAUAAA
RNAcentral lists this microRNA precursor (59 nucleotides) under Monopterus albus (swamp eel). RNAcentral describes it as "Mal-Novel-1_pre stem-loop". Lineage: Eukaryota; Metazoa; Chordata; Actinopteri; Synbranchiformes; Synbranchidae. The record is from RNAcentral.